This 343-nucleotide ribosomal RNA is filed under the name Gadus chalcogrammus (walleye pollock). RNAcentral's name for it is "partial 12S ribosomal RNA". The record is from RNAcentral. Lineage: Eukaryota; Metazoa; Chordata; Actinopteri; Gadiformes; Gadidae.
CAAAGGUUUGGUCCUGACUUUACUAUCAAUUGUACCCUAAUUUACACAUGCAAGUCUCCGCCUCCCCGUGAGAAUGCCCUUAAUGUCCUGCCCGGAAUUAAGGAGCAGGUAUCAGGCACAUCUAAUAGUUUACUAGCCCAUAACGCCUUGCUCAGCCACACCCCUACGGGUAUUCAGCAGUGAUAAAAUUUAAGCCAUAAGUGAAAGCUUGACUUAGUUAAGGGGAAGAGGGCCGGUAAAACUCGUGCCAGCCACCGCGGUUAUACGAGAGGCCCAAAUUGAUGAAAAACGGCGUAAAGCGUGGUUAAGAAAAAAAGAGAAAAUAUGGCCGAACAGCUUCAAA